AACGAACGCUGGCGGCAUGCCUAACACAUGCAAGUCGAACGAGACCUUCGGGUCUAGUGGCGCACGGGUGCGUAACGCGUGGGAACCUGCCCUUAGGUUCGGAAUAACUCCCCGAAAGGGGUGCUAAUACCGGAUAAUGUCUUCGGACCAAAGAUUUAUCGCCUUUGGAUGGGCCCGCGUUGGAUUAGCUAGUUGGUAGGGUAAAAGCCUACCAAGGCGACGAUCCAUAGCUGGUCUGAGAGGAUGAUCAGCCACACUGGGACUGAGACACGGCCCAGACUCCUACGGGAGGCAGCAGUGGGGAAUAGUGGACAAUGGGCGAAAGACUGAUCCAGCAAUGACGCGUGAGUGAUGAAGGCCUUAGGGUUGUAAAGCUCUUUUAACCGGGAUGAUAAUGACAGUACCGGGAGAAUAAGCUCCGGCUAACUCCGUG
This 433-nucleotide ribosomal RNA is filed under the name uncultured bacterium. Its description in RNAcentral is "partial 16S ribosomal RNA". It matches the Rfam family "Bacterial small subunit ribosomal RNA", at positions 29 to 507 of the family's 1533-position model. The record is from RNAcentral.